This 253-nucleotide ribosomal RNA is filed under the name uncultured bacterium. RNAcentral's name for it is "partial 16S ribosomal RNA". It matches the Rfam family "Bacterial small subunit ribosomal RNA", at positions 524 to 776 of the family's 1533-position model. The record is from RNAcentral.
UACGUAGGGUGCGAGCGUUAAUCGGAAUUACUGGGCGUAAAGCGUGCGCAGGCGGUUUUGUAAGCCAGAUGUGAAAUCCCCGGGCUUAACCUGGGAAUGGCAUUUGGGACUGCAAGGCUUGAGUGCGGCAGAGGAGACUGGAAUUCCUGGUGUAGCAGUGAAAUGCGUAGAUAUCAGGAGGAACACCAAUGGCGAAGGCAGCUCGCUGGGACGGUACUGACGCUGAUGCACGAAAGCUAGGGGAGCAAACAGG